UCUACAUUUUAAGAGCAAGAACUAAGCACUUGCUACCAUUAAAGCUGACAAUGAGUUCUAUGAUGCAAAUUGGUGAUGCAAGUCUAUCGAUAUUAAAAUAUGUAUGUGCCAAAGCAUCAUUUCCAGACAAGUUCAUUAUGGUAAUGCAAAUCCUGAACCUGGCAACUGGAAAAAUAAAGAUGUGAUUUGGAAUUGCUCCAGUUUGAAAAUUUCUGAUUGGAUUUCUCAGAGAAGAUAACUUAAUCAAGAAUAAACCAAACUAGGUUGCACCACAUGCAUCUGAGAUUACUUAUAACAGUCAACAUAGAUUUCAUCUACAUUCCAAUCACAUCUACUGACCUGGAAAUUUGCAACAAUCUUUUCCUUUUCUUUUUUUUUGAGGUCAUGCUUUAUAUUUGUCACCACCUGAUUACAAAAGUCUACUGUAAUACUAUACAAGCUUAAGAGAGAUGAACUCAAACCUGCAACCUGCAUAUCAGUCUCCCCAUACUUAAGCGCACUAGGAGGUAUUUUGGGUGCUGUCAUGCCAGUUGUUGGGGUCACUAUGACAUCAACCUUUUUAAAAAUUUCCAUGUGAUGGUACAUUAAUCUUCGCCUGAAACACUGUGCAGCAACAUAGUCUGCUGCACUGAAUGAUCGAAAUAGUGCAAAACUGGUACGGGUAUCAUAUGUCAAUCUCUUGCCUUUCCCAUCCUCAAUAUCAUGGUUUAAUGAGCACUGCGUUUCGGAUCCAAUUGAAACAAGAUGAGCAAUGCGCAUCUCGUCAAGCUCAGGCACCACAAUCUCUACCAUCUCACAGCCAUGUGUUUUAGAUAGAAGGUUAAGAAUAUCCUCACACUUAUUGGAGAUGUCAGUUGAGUGCACAUCAUUGAACCACGCUGUAUAUUUUCCCAGUCGCAAUGAUCCCAAAAUAUCUGUAUUUCCAUAGGAUGACAAAUUAGGCAAACAUGGGGGAGACUGCAAAAAAACAUGUAGAACAUUGUAAGGAUCAUAUCUUGAAAGAAAAAUGAAGCCUAGCAAGUAGUCAGAACUUAAAAUUUAACCUCCUUAGCAUGUACAAAGUAUGUCAACACAGAACAAGAUACAAGUAUGACUACAAUUGCAACUAGAUAUUAGGAAAAACAAGUUUCCAUUACCAGCAAUAGUAAAUUUGUAUUAUUCACUUCAAAAUAAAAUCCCAGCUCUAUUUAAGACUUGAAAUUAUUGGUAGAGCCAAAUGACUAGAGCUUUAAAAAGAUUAGGGACAGAAACAAAUUUUAAAUAAAUUUACAAUUGCUUUGGAUAGCUGUUGUAUUUUAUGAAGUUACCGGGUUCAAACAGAUUCUAUCUGCUGGAGAGGAGCCCAACAUUGCAGCAUACCUGAGGAAUCAAUAGUAUGCAAGGUGACCAACAUUUUCCAACAAGUAAUUACCAAAACUCAACUCAACUGUUCAUUUCAUCAAGGAACACAGUUUACAUGUUCAAACAUCAAAUAAAAGUGGACCCUGGGAAGUAUGAUGACCAGUAAACUAUAAAUGACACCAAAAUGCAACCAUCUCGUUUUUCUCUUUCUCCUUGUCUUUUGUUUAGGAGGGAGGAUUGAGGACUGAUUUUUGUUUUAUUUGUGGAAGGGGGGGGGGGGUUUGGGGGGUGUUCCAGGGGUAAAAAUGGCCAGCACAGGAAACAUUUUAACAGAUACUCUGAAGCUAUACUGCCAAAGGAAGCACACUUUGUAUUGCCUUGAAAGUGACACUGGUACCAAUAGAAUCUAAACCUGCAGCUUGUUCCAGUAUAAUGCAAAUAUGUAUUGUCUGACUUCUUAUAGAGAUCACAUAGCUGCCAUCACAAGCUUCACAUACUCACACUAGUAUGACAUCCUCCAUUGAAGAUGCCAUUGGUCCAAUAAUUUCCACAGUACCAGAAUCGCAUAUUGAACUGUGUCAAAACAAAAAAAGCACUAUAAGAAAUCUCUACUACUGAAAAAUUAUAACUUCAAAUAUCAUGCCAUACAAGAUCAUUAUUUUCUUUUCUUUGAAUAAACAAAUCAUAAAAAUACUAAGUUUCAGGCUUGUGGUAAUAUGCGAUAAUUGACAGGUGAUUAAAUUCUUACCCUCCUAUAUCUGUCCGUCCAUAUGUUGUUUUCAAGCCCACUAUACCACAAAGGGAAGAGGGUAUGCGGACUGAACCUGCCCUUUCCAGCAUUAAAUUAAAAUAAAAUAUUAGUAUGCCACAUGCAUUAACUAUUAGUCAGACCUGAUAUAUCACAUUAUACAACCUCCGCCAUCUGUUCCCAAGGCAGCUGAGCAUAUUCCAGAAGCUACAAUUGCUGCUGGGCCCGAGGAAGAUCCACCUGUGUACCUUUCGAAUGCAUGGGGGUUUCUUGUCGUUCCAUAAUUUGGAUUGUUUCCAGUUGUGCCCAUGCCUAAUUCAUGCAUAUUUGCCUUCCCUACAAAUAUCACACCACAGCUGCGCAAUCUAGAAACACAAACUGCAUCCCUGUUAACAGAACGAACCUCAUGCAUCCAUGUUGUUGCACCUUUAGACAGAUGGGGAUAGCAAUCUAUGUCAUCCUUGAUUGCUAUGAAAAUUCCAUCCAAUAUGGAUAUUGGAUUUCCUUCCUCAAGCCUCCGUGUGGAAGCUGCAGCUUGCUUCCUGACUUCCUCCUCAUCAAAAGAAAUCAACAAUGGUGCCAUGGGGUUCUUCUUUUGAAACUCCUCUAUAACUGAGAUUAUGUGCUCUGCAACCAUAGAUGGAGUUACAAUCUUAGAUCGAUAAGCAUGUGCGUAAUCACGUAUCUUCCAAUAUCUGAAUGAUGGAGCUGAGUCCCCAUUCCAGCAGCUAGCAGGAUCAUAAUGAGGAAGACACUUCAGUGCUGAUUCAACCCGAUCUUCUGGUUUUCCAUCUUCAUCCACAAGAACAAUACCAGGUUCUGGUUCUUGAGGAGGGAAUUCAGGUUUAAACAUGGGUGCUUCUGGUAUCUCAGUGUUUCGCAACAUCUCAUCCAUCUUGUUCUGCUUCUUUAAGUAAGAUAUGAUAAGAGAACCUAUGACUGGAGCCUCAAGUAACUUUACAAACAACUUAAAUCCCAAUCCGGUCAAAUGUGGAGCUUGGAUAACCUCAGGCUUAUACUCGACAGCGGACAAAUCCAAAUCCUUAGCAGGAACCAUUACAAGCUUCUUUCCCAUUCUCAAGAUUGGCGGAAGUCAGUUUCUGAAAGAAAAAAAAAAGAACUUUAGAAAGAGAGAGGGAGAAAGGGUCUUGCAGAUUUAGAAAGAAGAGUGAAAAAGAGUGUCAAAAUGUAUAGAUAGAAGGCGUUGAAGACUAAGAGAGAGAGAGAGACGAUGUGGUAGUUGAUAGCCGUUGGAUGUUUUUAAUUAUUGCCGUUUAAUU
Molecule: unclassified non-coding RNA, 3369 nt
Filed under: Hevea brasiliensis (rubber tree)
Lineage: Eukaryota; Viridiplantae; Streptophyta; Magnoliopsida; Malpighiales; Euphorbiaceae
Source: RNAcentral